RNAcentral lists this long non-coding RNA (788 nucleotides) under Anas platyrhynchos platyrhynchos (common mallard). Its description in RNAcentral is "lncRNA (ENSAPLG00000020983.1)". The record is from RNAcentral. Lineage: Eukaryota; Metazoa; Chordata; Aves; Anseriformes; Anatidae.
UUUAAAUUGCAACAAAGGAAUUAAGAAACAGAUGCCCAUUAAAAAGGAAAAAGGCUGCAAUACAGUGAGCAAGUGGGAAACAGCUGAUAUGCACUCUGCUAUCAACUCUGGAAAAAAACAUGGGCGAAAGCAAACACAAGAUGAAUCUGAGGUCAGAUUCAUCACAGCAGAAAUCAGGUUUGCAGACAUGGAAAUCAAGAGCACAGACAGUAUUAUCCUUAAAUAAACAGUGGUGGUUCUGAUUCAGAUGAAAGGUAGGUGGUUGUUCCCUAUCUCCAUGCCUCAACUGGAUGUCUGAAAUUCAAUGAACUGAAUCUGGUUCUACAUCUUUGUAUUUUGAAUUAGUGUCUAUUUCAUUUCUUUAGUUCUAGUCUCUAGCUCAUCAAGGGUUCAGGGGGAAUAUUUUUGCAUACCAUCCCAAUCCUCCUUUGCAUUUACAAUAUCUCUCAUUUUUGAGUCAACAAGUUGAACUAUCACAGCUUUGAUAUUUUGUACUAAAUUUGUUACUAAAACUAUUCAGCUAUAUAUAUGUACUUUUGAGGAGGGGUAUAUCAUUGUUGAGGCUAAUCAUAGGAAAACACAGCUAAAAAUUCUUGCAGCAUGGGCUAUGGUUAUAUAUAGUGCUUCUGUUAAUAAGCACUUAAUAAGCACCUUUUGCCAUGUAACUAACACUACAGGGGUCCUACUUGCAUGACAUUCUACUAUGUAGCUUACCAAAAUGAAAACGGCUUAUUUAGAAGCAUUGUUAUCUCACUUUAAAAAAAAAAUAAAAAAUAAAAAAAGUUGCA